AGAGUUUGAUCCUGGCUCAGGACGAACGCUGGCGGCGUGCUUAACACAUGCAAGUCGAGCGAGGUUCGCUUCAGUGGCAACACUGUCGUGAUACCUAGCGGCGAACGGGUGAGCAACACGUGAGGAACCUGCCCCAGACUUUGGGAUAACCCUGGGAAACCGGGGCUAAUACCGCAUAAGCCCGAGAGGGGAAAGCAGCAAUGCGCUGAAAGAGGAGCCCGCGGCCGAUUAGCUAGUUGGCAGGGUAAGAGCCUACCAAGGCAGAGAUCGGUAGCCGGCCUGAGAGGGCACACGGCCACACUGGCACUGAAACACGGGCCAGACUCCUACGGGAGGCAGCAGUGGGGAAUCUUGCACAAUGGGGGCAACCCUGAUGCAGCGACGCCGCGUGAGCGAUGAAGCCCUUCGGGGUGUAAAGCUCUUUCGGCAGGGAAGAUGAUGACGGUACCUGCAGAAGCAGCUGCGGCUAACUACGUGCCAGCAGCCGCGGUAAUACGUAGGCAGCGAGCGUUGUUCGGAGUUACUGGGCGUAAAGGGUGUGUAGGCGGUUCUUUAAGUUUGGUGUGAAAUCUCCCGGCUCAACCGGGAGGGUGCGCCGAAUACUGAGGGACUAGAGUACGGGAGAGGAAAGUGGAAUUCCUGGUGUAGCGGUGAAAUGCGUAGAUAUCAGGAGGAACACCGGUGGUGUAGACGGCUUUCUGGACCGUAACUGACGCUGAGACACGAAAGCGUGGGUAGCAAACAGGAUUAGAUACCCUGGUAGUCCACGCCCUAAACGAUGCAUAUUUGGUGUGGGCAGUUCAUUCUGUCCGUGCCGGAGCUAACGCGUUAAAUAUGCCGCCUGGGGAGUACAGUCGCAAGGCUGAAACUCAAAGGAAUUGACGGGGGCCCGCACAAGCGGUGGAGCAUGUGGUUCAAUUCGACACUACGCGAAGAACCUUACCUGGGCUCGAACGGCUUCUCAACGCCGGUGGAAACACCGGUAUCCCGCACGGGAGUGGAGUCGAGGAGCUGCAUGGCUGUCGUCAGCUCGUGUCGUGAGAUGUUGGGUUAAUUCCCGCAACGAGCGCAACCCCUGUCCUGUGUUGCCAUCAUUCAGUUGGGAACUCGCAGGAGACCGCCAGCGAUAAGCUGGAGGAAGGUGGGGAUGACGUCAAGUCCUCAUGGCCUUUAUGUCCAGGGCUACACACGUGCUACAAUGGACGGUACAAACCGCAGCAAACCCGCGAGGGGGAGCCAAUCGGAAAAAACCGUUCUCAGUUCGGAUUGCAGGCUGCAACUCGCCUGCAUGAAGCUGGAAUCGCUAGUAAUGGCAGAUCAGCACGCUGCCGUGAAUACGUUCCCGGGCCUUGUACACACCGCCCGUCACAUCACGAAAGUGGAUUGUACUUGAAGUCUGCAGGCUCACCUUCGGGAGGGCGCUUACCACGGUGUGGUCAAUGACUGGGGUGAAGUCGUAACAAGGUA
This 1467-nucleotide ribosomal RNA is filed under the name metagenome. RNAcentral's name for it is "bacterial SSU rRNA". It matches the Rfam family "Bacterial small subunit ribosomal RNA". The record is from RNAcentral.